GGCUCAAUGGUCUAGUGGUAUGAUUGUCGCUUCGGGUUACCCCCUCGUGGUUUUGAAAACUGUGAACUGUGACAGGCCUCGGGUUCGAAUCCCGAUUGAGCCC
Knufia peltigerae is the source of this 103-nucleotide non-coding RNA. NCBI's taxonomy places the organism in Eukaryota, Fungi, Ascomycota, Eurotiomycetes, Chaetothyriales, Trichomeriaceae. The record is from the annotation of a GenBank genome assembly.